RNAcentral lists this ribosomal RNA (272 nucleotides) under uncultured prokaryote. RNAcentral describes it as "partial 16S ribosomal RNA". It matches the Rfam family "Bacterial small subunit ribosomal RNA", at positions 524 to 796 of the family's 1533-position model. The record is from RNAcentral.
UACGAAGGACCCGAGCGUUAUCCGGAUUUAUUGGGUUUAAAGGGUGCGUAGGCGGAUUAAUAAGUCAGUGGUGAAAGCCCGUCGCUUAACGGCGGAACUGCCAUUGAUACUGUUAGUCUUGAGUAUGGUUGAGGUGGGCGGAAUGUGUCAUGUAGCGGUGAAAUGCUUAGAUAUGACCCAGAACACCAAUUGCGAAGGCAGCUCGCUAAGCCAUAACUGACGCUGAUGCACGAAAGCGUGGGGAGCAAACAGGAUUAGAACCCGAGUAGUCC